Oncorhynchus tshawytscha (Chinook salmon) is the source of this 840-nucleotide long non-coding RNA. The record is from Ensembl. Lineage: Eukaryota; Metazoa; Chordata; Actinopteri; Salmoniformes; Salmonidae.
GUUGGAUAGGUCUGGAUAGUUGGAUAGGUCUGGAAAGGUCUGGAUAGUUGGAUAGGUCUGGAUAGUUGGAUAGGUCUGAAUAGUUGGAUAGGUCUGGAUAGUUGGAUAGGUCUCUGGAUAGUUGGAUAGGUCUGGAUAGUUGGAUAGGUCUGGAUAGAUAGAUAGGUCUGGAUAGUUGGAUAGGGCUGGAUAGUUGGAUAGGGCUGGAUAGUUGGAUAGGUCUGGAUAGAUAGAUAGGUCUGGAUAUGUCUGGAUAGUUGGAUAGGUCUGGAUAGUUGGAUAGGUCUGGAUAGUUGGAUAGGUCUGGAUAGUUGGAUAGGGCUGGAUAGUUGGAUAGGGCUGGAUAGUUGGAUAGGUCUGGAUAGGUGGAUAGUUGGAUAGGUCUGGAUAGGUCUGGAUAGUUGGAUAGGGCUGGAUAGUUGGACAGGGCUGGAUAGGGCUGGAUAGUUGGACAAGGCUGGAUAGUUGGACAGGGCUGGAUAGUUGGACAGGGCUGAAUAGUUGGAUAGGUCUGGAUAGUUGGAUAGGUCUGGAUAGGGCUGGAUAGUUGGAUAGGUCUGGAUAGUUGGAUAGGUCUGGAUAGUUGGAUAGGUCUGGAUAGUUGGAUAGGUCUGGAUAGUUGGAUAGGGCUGGAUAGUUGGAUAGGUCUGGAUAGUUGGGUAGGGCUGGAUAGUUGGGUAGGUCUGGAUAGUUGGAUAGGUCUGGAUAGUUGGAUAGGUCUGGAUAGUUGGAUAGGUCUGGAAAGGUCUGGAUAGUUGGAUAGGUCUGGAUAGUUGGAUAGGUCUGAAUAGUUGGAUAGGUCUGGAUAUUUGGAUAGGUCUGGAUAGUUGGAUAGGUCUG